Molecule: ribosomal RNA, 756 nt
Filed under: Phyllactinia sp. HMAS11507
Lineage: Eukaryota; Fungi; Ascomycota; Leotiomycetes; Helotiales; Erysiphaceae
Description: eukaryotic LSU rRNA
Rfam family: Eukaryotic large subunit ribosomal RNA
Source: RNAcentral
UUAGUAACGGCGAGUGAAGCGGUAACAGCUCAAAUUUGAAAUCUGGCUCCCUGCGGAGUCCGAGUUGUAAUUUGUAGAAGAUGCUUUGGGUGCACGACCCGGCCUAAGUGCCUUGGAACAGGACGUCGUAGAGGGUGAGAAUCCCGUAUGCGGCCGGCGUCGACGCCCGUGUAAAGCUCUUUCGACGAGUCGAGUUGUUUGGGAAUGCAGCUCAAAAUGGGUGGUAAAUUUCAUCUAAAGCUAAAUAUGGGCCAGAGACCGAUAGCGCACAAGUAGAGUGAUCGAAAGAUGAAAAGCACUUUGGAAAGAGAGUUAAACAGUACGUGAAAUUGUUGAAAGGGAAGCGCUUGCAACCAGACUUGGGCGUCGCUGAUCAUCCAAAGUUCUCUUUGGUGCACUCGGCGACGCACAGGCCAGCAUCGGUUGGGGUGGUGGGAGAAAGACUGUAGGAACGUAGCUCUUUUCGGAGAGUGUUAUAGCCUGCGGUGCAAUACUGCCUACCUCGACCGAGGACCGCGCUUCGGCUAGGAUGCUGGCGUAAUGGUUGUAAGCGACCCGUCUUGAAACACGGACCAAGGAGUCUAACAUCUAUGCGAGUGUUUGGGUGCGAAACCCAUGCGCGAAAUGAAAGUGAACGUAGGUGAGAACCCUUUGAGGGGGCAUCAUCGACCGAUCCUGAUGUCUUCGGAUGGAUUUGAGUAUGAGCAUAGCUGUUGGGACCCNAAANAUGGUGAACUAUNCCUNAAUANGGUGAAC